Molecule: non-coding RNA, 72 nt
Organism: Podarcis lilfordi (Lilford's wall lizard)
Lineage: Eukaryota; Metazoa; Chordata; Lepidosauria; Squamata; Lacertidae
Source: the annotation of a GenBank genome assembly
UGUACCACAGCUCAGUGGUACAGCAUCUGUUUUGCAUGCAGCAGGUCCCAGGUUCCAUCCCUGCUGGCAUAU